GAUGAACGCUGGCGGCGUGCCUAAUACAUGCAAGUCGAGCGAACAGACGAGGAGCUUGCUCCUCUGACGUUAGCGGCGGACGGGUGAGUAACACGUGGAUAACCUACCUAUAAGACUGGGAUAACUUCGGGAAACCGGAGCUAAUACCGGAUAAUAUAUUGAACCGCAUGGUUCAAUAGUGAAAGACGGUUUUGCUGUCACUUAUAGAUGGAUCCGCGCCGCAUUAGCUAGUUGGUAAGGUAACGGCUUACCAAGGCAACGAUGCGUAGCCGACCUGAGAGGGUGAACGGCCACAAUGGAAAUGAGACACGGUCCAGACUCCUAAGGGAGGCAACAGUAGGGAAUCUUCCGCAAUGGGCGAAAGCCUGACGGAGCAACGCCGCGUGAGUGAUGAAGGUCUUCGGAUCGUAAAACUCUGUUAAUAGGGAAGAACAAAUGUGUAAGUAACUAUGCACGUCUUGACGGUACCUAAUCAGAAAGGCACGGCUAACUACGUG
Molecule: ribosomal RNA, 497 nt
Filed under: uncultured bacterium
Lineage: Bacteria
Description: partial 16S ribosomal RNA
Rfam family: Bacterial small subunit ribosomal RNA
Source: RNAcentral